Molecule: ribosomal RNA, 256 nt
Filed under: uncultured bacterium
Lineage: Bacteria
Description: partial 16S ribosomal RNA
Rfam family: Bacterial small subunit ribosomal RNA
Source: RNAcentral
CGGACGGGUGAGUAACGCGUGGGUAACCUGCCUCACACUGGGGGACAACAGCUGGAAACGGCUGCUAAUACCGCAUAAGCGCACAGCUUCGCAUGAAGCAGUGUGAAAAACUCCGGUGGUGUGAGAUGGACCCGCGUCUGAUUAGCUAGUUGGUAAGGUAACGGCUUACCAAGGCGACGAUCAGUAGCCGACCUGAGAGGGUGACCGGCCACAUUGGGACUGAGACACGGCCCAAACUCCUACGGGAGGCAGCAUG